GGCAAGAGCAUUUUCUGACGGGACCUGGAGAAGAUUGUAAUUAGGUUAAUGAAUGAGUAGCAAGUGAGCAAGUGUUGGCUUUUCUCAGUAUAGAGACAAAGAAAGUGAGGGAGAGGAUUUUAAAGAGAGACGGUAGGAUCAUUUGCUUAUCUACACUAAUAAAAGAGAAAUAUGUAAAUUAAGCAUCACUUUGCGACGCCCACCAGCCAAUCAGGAAUGAGUAUGCAAAUUAGUGGGACAAAGAUGGCAGAAGCCAUGGAGCCAACUGGAGUGGGUGAGAGGCUUGGGUUGCCCUUGGCGAUGGAGGAAGCCAAGCUUCCUGCCCGCCCUGGCCGGCUGCUGAAGGAGGGGCCUGCAAACGGCCCUCAGCCCCUCACCCAGGUUGGCCAUGUCACCAUUGGGGUGAAGGUUCCUGCUGGGGAGCAUGGCCAGCCUGAAAACAGCCCUCAGCCCCUUACCCAGGCUGACCCAACCCCUCGCCCAGGCUGGCACCAUCCCCAGUGGGAUCCCCACCCCAAUGGGGGUGUGGCCAGCCUGCAAACAACCACAAGCCACUUGCCCAGGCUGCCCCGUAAUCUGAGGGGUCCCAGAUUGGAGAGGGUGCAGGCUGGGCUGAGGGACACCCCCCACCCCCGAAUUUUGUGCACUGGGCCUCUAAUGCUGGGAUAAGAGGAAGGAGUAAGUUUGUAGGCUAAGGAGAGAGUGCAAAGGAAAUGUUAAAGUUAUGCAGAACAGAUAAAUAAUGGAAUGAGAUUCUGGCAGAAGUAAGGUGUAUUAUGGACUCAGGGGGGACAUUAAUCUUGGAAAGGGGGAGAAGGACUUUUGGAGUCAUUAAAAGUUAAAACCCAAACAUUUAUGGCAGGAAAUGAAGCAUCUAGGGUUUCUAAGUUUUUCUGAAAUAAUUCUGAAGUGUCAAUUUAUAUCCUGAAAAUCACAGCUUCUAACUUCUACAAUAAUUACUGUUCUUGAAAAUACUUGUCAACCAUCCUCAUGGUAGAUCUGGCAAAUAAUGGAAUCAGAUCAGACACAGGCAGUGUUGUCAGCGUGCAUGUUCUGUUACAUUUGGCAACAUUGAUAACGCUUGUGUGAAGAUAGAUUUAAGCUUCAAGCUAUCCAUUGGGGCAUCACUAACUUCAGCAUCACGAAUAAAUCUGAAAAAGAAAAUCCAUACACUUCAACCAUUUCUGAACGCUAAUUUUUAUAUCUGCUUUUACAAAUACUAUAAUGUUCCUGUCAAAGAAUCCAUAUUUUGGGGGGGUGUAAUUCAAGUUCAAAAUAGCAUGAAAAAACUCAGUACCAGUGGUUUCUUAAACUUUGCUGUUUUAGCCGUGUAAUUUAAUAAAUCACUGUUUUAGAUGAGGAGCAAGGCGGAAAAGGAAUAUGGAAACAUUUGGCAUGGACCAGACAUUGACUUCUGCUCUCUCACAUUCUUUAGUUCUCACAGCAAUUCAUCUGAGGUAGUUGCUCUUUUGGUUUUACCGAAGCGAAAAUCUAAGUUUAAUAAAUGAAUGAGGGAGGUCUCGCCUGCAUUCUCCCUCCUAUAACAGCUUCUGAAUCCUUUGGAUUUUACUCAAACGUCCUUAACAGAAUGCAUGCUCCCUGGUGGCUGAGUCAACUUUUAUUCUUUGAUGGAUGUGACUUUUUUCUGGUGGGGGGAAAAAAUCGCACAUUAAUGCAGUGAACACAAUUUUAAAGGAAUUUCCAAUAUCAACUAAUGCAGUCCGCCGCCACCACUUCUGCCCGAAGGAGAGGAGUGCGUCCCAACCUUUUCCUUCUGUGUUGCCAGUUCUUGCAUCAAAAUCUUCCCACAAUGUGCCGAUUGGGGGAUUGUUCAUGUCCUCCCUACAAGAGAGGCUGGGAGUGAGGGGGGCGCGGUCUGCCCCUUCCUGCCCCUCCCACCAGGAUUCAUAAAGUGGUUAAUUCUGCCAGCAUAGAAAGUUCAAGUGCUGUGUCGCCAGAAGGAAAGAUAAAUAUCUGCGACUGAACAAACACGGAACUUUCCGUCUAGCAGGGAAAGUAAACAGGAUUGCACAGAUUAUUACGAUACGUGUUAAGAGUAAAGAAAAUUUGGGUAGCCUGUCGCAUGGGGGUUUCAGUGUGAGGCAGCACAGGAAGUGGCCUUGGACCCAGCCCUGAGAGCGGAGAGGCAGGAAGCUGCAAGGGGAAAGGGUGGAGAACACUCCAGGCACGGGGAGCAGCAUCUGCUCAGAAGGUGAAAAAGAAAAACGUGCGAGGAGCUGAAAGCAGAUCCGAGUGACGAGACAGAGCUGGGGAGAAGCUGGACAGGCAGGCAGCAAACACUGGGCUGGCCUUGGAGGCCAAGCUAACGAUUAUGGGCUUCAUUCCAAGAGUUUGGGAAAGUUACUGAAGAAUUUUAAACAGGGCCAACAGGCAUAAUUUAAAAAAAAAAUUUUUUAUUGAUUUCAUAGAGGCAGGGAGAGGGAACAAGAGAUAGAAACAUCAAUGAUAAAACUCAUUGAUCAGCUGCCUCUUGGAGGCCCCACACUGGGGAUCGAACCCACAACCCGGGCAUGUGCCCUGACGGAGUCAAACCGUGACCUCCUGGUUCACAGGUCUAUGCUCAACCACUGAGCCACGCCAGUGGGGCAGGCAUCUCUCUUUUAAACUCAAAAAUCCGAGAAGGACAAGAAUGAAAGAGGAAUGACCCAUCAAGUUUGUGGUUGUGGAGAUGGGGGGAAAUCGGGAUUUGAGAAAUAUCCAGGAAGUAACAUCAAUAGAGUUAAAUAAAUGACGGGGUAUGUCACCAAAUGUGAAAAGGGCCACCCCUCGGUGGUUACUAGAUGAUGGUUCCGUUUCCUGACGGUGGCCUGUCUAGUGGUCCGGAAUGAGAUUACCAGGUAGACGUCAGACAAGGCCACUGGAUAGAUGAGUCUGGAACUCAGGGGAAAGAGCUGGGCUGCAGAUAACAGAUUCUGGUCUUAUUCAGCAAAAGUACGGUGGAUGAAGCGGUGGAAUGGAGGAGAUGGUGUAGAGGGAGAGAGUGAAAGGGAAGGAAGUAGUCUAGGGAGAAGCCUAGAGAACCGCACGGAAAGAUGUGGACAGAGGAGAAGCUAAAAGGGGAUGGACAGGGAGAGCCAGAGGGGAGGAGAGCCACGCAUGGGGACUCUUCAGGGCCAGGUGUUAUUUCAACACGUUUUGUCUUCCUUUCUGUUUAGCCUGCGAUAUCCGAUUUCACCGAUAUGCUGGCUGCAGGAGACUGACGCGGUCCAAACGGAAAGUAUAGUGUCAGUCACCGAUGACUGACAUGGCGCUUCAUGUGUUAAGAUCCAUUUAAAUGAGCAUUAUAGAGCAUUGGCUGCUUUCAUCAACAUAGAAAUUAUUGACCAGAACCAAAGCCCGUUUAGAAGAUUGUGGGGCCAGGGCCAGGAAAGUGCUUUUGGAGUGAGAAGAGGAAGAACUGGGGCAGCCCUUACUAGAUAAUGUGGCCAUGAAGGACAGGAAUGACACAGGGUGAUACCUGGGGGGAGAGUGGGGUGGGGAUUUCUUCUAAAAGAUGGAACAGAUUUUGAGCAUGUUUAAAAACUUAAGAGAAGGAUCUAGUAGAGAAGUUGGAGAUAAAGGAGGGCUGCAAGGUCGCAGUUUUGUUCCGUUCUUGUUUUGACAUGCUAAUUCUUGUCACUUUUCAAGAGGUCUCACCGGCAUCCUUGGCCUCCACACCCCUGAUGCUCUGUGAGGCCGAUGGAUACUGCCCGCCGGACAGUUGUUCUGCGCACCAUGAUGUGUUUACUUUCAACACCAUUAAACCUAUAAAUAUUACUUGCAGAGUGAUGUUUAAAGGCAUGUUUGCAGCUACAUCCAACACUUGACAAUUACUCCUGGCAUGUGAUUUGAGGGCACAGGCAGAGAGGUAAACGGGUCCUCAUAAUCCAGGGAGAAGCAUUUGGGGUCCGUGUAGGUUCCUAAGGGACAAGAGUGGAGAAGUGGACAGAGGCCACAGAAACUCCUCAGCUGAGAAGGAUUUGGAAUGUAAAUCUCUUCUUCCCAAACCAAAUCUCCAGUAAAAUCUGCCUUGUUUGUCUCAAAGACUAAGUGGAUUAUUUUGGGGGCACUUAAAGAGAUGAAUUUUACAACUGGGUCAAAUCUGCAAUUCAACUCAUUUGGGUAAAUACAAAGCAAAAUACCAAAUAACUUAUUUUUCCAUUAAAAAAUAGGCUUAAAUGACAUACAAUAAAACUUUUUAGUAUACAGUUCUGGGAGUUUUGGGUGUGUGUUUUUUAAUCCUCACCUGAGGAUAUUUUUCCAUUGACUUUUAAAGAGAGAGGAAGGGAGAGGGAGAGUCAGAGAGAGAAACAUUGAUGUGAGAGACACAUUGAUUGAUUGCCUCCUGCUUGUGCCCCAACCAGGGCCGGAGAUCGAGCCUGCAUCUGAGGUACGUGCCCUUGACUGGAAUGGAACCCAGGACCCUUCAAUCCACAGGCCGAUGCUCUAUCCACUGAGUCAAACAGGCCAGACCCAGUUCUGGGAGUUUUGGCAAAUGUAUACAGUUGUACAACCACCACCAAGAGCGAGAUACAGAACAGUUUGAGCACCUGUCCCCCAAAUUCCCACAAUUUCAUAUUAUUCAUAUUAUUUUUUAUAUUAAGAACAAAAUACUGAGGAAGACUGGAAACAGCCUCAAUCAGAGACAGUUUAAGAUGCUUAAGCCAUCACCUGACAACAUUGUUUAAACAUUUUUUUAAAUGGUGUGGCAUUGUAAUUACAAAUGUUGGACGUACUUGCAAACAUGCUUUUAUAAAAAAAAAAAAAAACCACUUUAAAGGCAGUAUUUAUCGGCUUAAAUGGUGGUGUAAGAAACUCGCUCCAACCUGUUUUAAGCAAAUCAAAUAUUUUAAGUUUGAUUAGUCUCUUUGAGACCAGAGGAGUGGGUUUUUUUAAAUUGUAGUAAAACACAUAACGUAAAAUCUACCAUCUUAACCACUUUUUAAAAUACUAUUUUUAGUAGACUUCAUUUUUUAGAGCAAUUUUAGGGUCACAGCAGAAUUGAGUGGAGGUAGGGAGAUUUCCCACAUACCCCCCACCCCUGCACAUGCAUACUCUCCUCACUGCCAACACCCCCACCAGAGUAGUAUAUUUGUUACAGUUGAACCGAUAUUGACAUAUCAUCACCCUAAGUCCAUAGUUUACAUAAGGGUCACUGUUGGUGUCAUUCUCUGAGUUUGGGCAAAUGUAUAAUGAUGUAUCCACCAUUAUAAUAUCAUUCAGAGUAUUUACACUGCCUUAAUAAUGCUGUUUUUCACUUAUUCAUCCUUCCCUCCCUCCAAUCCUUGACAACUGCUGAUCUUUUUUUUUUAAUUAAAAAAAAUGUUAUUACAUUUUUGAGAGGGGGGGGGGAGAGAGAGAGAGAGAGAGAGAGAGAGAGAGAGAGAGAGAGAGAGAGAUCGGCUGCCUCCCACACGCACCACGACAGGGAAUUGAACCUGAAACCUGGGUAUAUGCCCUGACUGGGAAUCCAACUCGCCACCUUUCGGCAUAUGCGGUGACGCUCCAGCCGAGGCACACUGUCCAGGGCCUGCUGAUCUUACUGUCUUUUCCCGAAUGUCAUAACUGGAAUCAUGCUGUGGAUAGCCUUUUCAGAUGGGCUUCUUUCACUUAGUAAUAUGCAUUUAAGUUUCCUCCAUGUCUUCUCAUGGCUUCAUAGCUCAUUUUUUAAAAUUCCUGAAUAAUAUUUCAUUUUCUAGAUGUACCAGUUUGUUUUACCUACUGAAGGAAUCUGCCAAGUUGUGACAAUUAUGAAUAAAGCUGCUAUUUAAAAAAGAAAAUAAUAAAGCUGCUCUAAAUAUCUGUGUGCAGGUUUUUGUGUGGAACUAAAUUUUUUAACUCAUCUGGGUAAAUAGCAAGGAGUGAAAUUGCUGGAUCACAUGAUAAAAGUGUGCUUAGUUGUAAGAAGCUGUCACACUGUCUUCCAAAGUGGCUGCGCUGUUUUGCAUUCCCACCAGCACUGAGUGACAGUUCCUGUUGUUCCACAUUCUUGUCAGCAUUUGCUGAUGCCAGUGUUCUGGAUUUUAGCCACUCUGAUAGGUAUAUACUGGUAUCUUGUUGUUUUAAUUUGUAAUUCUGUGAUGACAUAUGAUAUAGAUCUUCUCAUAUGCCUAUUUGCUAUCUGUAUCUCCUCUAGUGAGAUGUCUAUUAAGGUCUUUGGCCCAUUUUUUUAACCAGGUUAGUUUUCUUAUUGUUGAAUGUUAAGGGUCCUUUGAGUAUUUUGGAUAAUAUUCCUUGAUCAGAUGAGCCUUUUGCAAAUAUUUGCUCCCAGUCUCUGGCUUAUCUUUUCAUUCUUUUGACAUUGUCUUUCACAGAGCAGAAAUUUUUAAUUUUAAUGAAGUCCACCUUAUUAAUUCUUUCUUUCAAGAAUCAUACCUAUCUAAAAAGGCAUCACCAGCCCAGCUGGUGUGGCUCAGUGGUUGAGUGUCGACCUAUGAACCAGGAGGUCACCGUUUGAUUCCCAGUCAGGACACAUGCCCGGGUUGCAGGCUUGAUCCCCAGUAGGGGGCAUGCAGGAGGCAGCCAAUCAAUGAUGCUCAUCAUUGAUGUUUCUAUCUCUCUCUCCCUUCCUCUCUAAAAUCAAUCAAAUAUAUUUUAAAAAAUUAAUAAAAAAGAAAUGGAGGUGUUAUCAUACGGAGGAGAAUGAAUCAUUUAGGUAAGGAUUCAGUUGUGCAACAAGUAAGUAAUGGAGCCUGGAUUUGAAGGAAGAGCUGGCUACUCGAAGCCAUGGGCAUUGGGUCCCUCCUGCACUCAAUACUCUGCCUUUAAAAUGAAAGUUAAUUUCAACUGUGAAUGCUUGGCUGCCAUGGUAGCAGGGAGGUGGCAAGAGCUCAUCUCUGGUAAGGACAUAGCCUUUGGAAGGAGAGAGACCAUAAAACAAUGAAACAUACUGCCUUGGGAUGUCCAGAGUUUUAUCCCUACUGUCUUUCUCCCUUUAAAAAUAAAUGAAUCACACCUGAAUAUUUGUUUGUUUGUUUGUUUGUUUAACAAAUCCCUGUUUCAGUGUCUUUGAUUGAUGGACAUGUAGUAGUUGUUUUUUAGUGAGAGUUCUCCAGAGGAAACAGAACCAGUAGUAGAUCUAUCUAUCUACCUACCUACCUACCUACCUACCAUCUAUCUACCUACCUACCUAAUCUUCCUUGCUACAAGGAAUUGGCUCAUGUGAUUAUGGAAGCUGAGAAGUCCCAUGAUCCGCCAUCUGCAGGCUGGAGACCCAGCAGAGUGGGUGGUGAAUCUUCAGUCUGAGGGCAGAAGACCAACGUCCCCGCUUGAACACAGUCCGGCAGAGAGUAAAUUCUCCCUUCUUCCACCUUUUUGUUCUAUUCAGGCCCUGAUGGAUUGGACAAGAGCCACCCACAUUGGGGAGGGCAGUCUGCUUUCCUCAGUCUACCUACUCAUGUUAAUCUCAUACACAAAUGCCCUACAGACACACCAGAAGCCUCUAACCAAAUAUCUGGGCACCCAGUGGCCUGGUCAAGUUGAAACAAAAUUACCCAUCACAAGUCUUGUAUGGAUAAGUGAAGAAAGUGUCCGGUUACAAUUACAGUUCAGGGCCUGGAACCGGAAGCAUACUGAGCUCAAAGUUGACAUUAGCAGGCAUUGACUCACUCAGUUUUAGUUCCGGAAAUGGCUUUAAAGGCAGGGCUUCCUACUGAACCUUGAGUUUAAGAGCUGGAAGUGCUUAAGUGUUUUGCUCAGAUACAUACAGCACUUACGGUGGUGGCCCAAGUGCCCUCGAAUGAGCAGUUAUGCAUUAUGCUAACAGUAAAUUAACCUGUAUUGAUCCUCUCCAUGUGCCGAACACAUCUCAGCUCAUUCCCUGUAUCAAUGCCUUUAAUAACACGUGAGCCCCUGAUUUGACAGGUGAGGACAACACUAAGGCAGGUCCACGCAGACAUCAAGAGGCAGAGCCAAGAAUAAAACGUGUGCAUGUCGGUCCAGAAUGUGUGCUGUUAACCAUCAUGCUCCGGCCCCCGAUUGACGUGCCUGAGAGCAGUGCAUGGGCCCAAGAGGGCUUCGUGUCAGGCAGGACUUUCCCCAGGUCACCCCAGUUGGGACUCGAGAGACCACUGUGGGCUGGGCGACUGGCUGGUGCUGGCCUCUAUAGCCUUUUCAAAUUGGACUCUUAACAGACCAGCCUAGGCUCUAAAAGGAAAAGGAUCACGUUCACUCUUGGCGUUUCAUUGAAGGGGCCCCUGCAUGAGUCAGGUGAGCUACUGGCUGGUGCUGUUCAAGAAAACGCAACGGAUCCUUACUUUGGAAGCUCUCACCCCGCGAUGCUUGGGAAAUGAAUCAGGAAACUGGGUUUUAAUACCAGGGAAAGACUCAGUUUACUCCCCUCCAGGGACAAACAGGAAGCCGACCUUUCUCUGCUUCCUUCCCCCACAAAUGACUGUGGAAGCCUUUCUAUUUUCUUUUUUCAGAAUGAAUCUGGGCAUUUACUUCCCGUACUCCCAUACAUGUUUGGCCCCAUCCAUGGUUUACCCAUCCAUGGCAUUUUCCUUUCAUUUGUUAAAGGCACACUGGGGUUUUUGUUUGUUUGUUUCUGACCAAGGGACUAACUUCAGCAAAAGAAGAAACUGGCUGUCAGAUUUGCUAGCUCUGUUGUGGACCCCAAUAACCAGAGUGGCCGGCUUCAUGAAACAGUGACCAUGGAAUACACAGCUCCUGAGCCAGCUGGAAGACAGCAGCUUGAGAGCUUGGAUUCCAUUUAUACCUACAACCAGCGAUCCUGUCAAUAUCUUUCUCAGAAAGAGAAACUUCGAUGUGACUGGGAAUUGAACCUGCAACCUUUUGUGUAUGGAUACGCUCCUACCAACUAAGCCACCUGUGCCAGGGCCCACAGCUUCCUUCUUUAAACAACACGGCCACUUCCAUGUGACAAAGUCCUCACCUUGCCCACUCUACUUACUUUCAUUACUUAACUGGACCCUGAAGGCAUGUUUGUCACCCUUGGUGCUUAACUGAACGAUACUGAAUAAAUUAAAUUGGCAAUUAAUGCUUGUGUUUUACAUUUUCUUUAUUUUUAAAAAAUAUAUUUUUAUUGAUUUCAGAGAAGAAGGGAGACAGAGAGAGAGAAACGGAAACAUCAAUGAUGAGAGAG
Molecule: long non-coding RNA, 9103 nt
Organism: Myotis daubentonii (Daubenton's bat)
Lineage: Eukaryota; Metazoa; Chordata; Mammalia; Chiroptera; Vespertilionidae
Exons: 3
Source: RefSeq, a predicted model, not a curated record